AAACUCUCCAGAAAAACUGCUGCCUGGAUUCUUACUUUUUCACCUCAUCAGUUACUUUUGAGCAGAUCAAUGUCAUGAGCUGGGGUGAGUACUCGUCUCAUUAUUCACCACCUUUGAGCUUUGAUUGCAGGAGAGGGAGCAACAGCUGUUUCUCAUCAGCGGGCCGGUUUUAUAAGGAGGAGGAAGACCAGACUACGAUGCCGGAUGAUUGCCGUUAACUGGUUCCUGGAUUCUUGGAUAACUCGCUCUGCUCCUGGAAGGAAAUCUCUGGUUCGUUCCUGUUUGUCUCCUCCGCCUGCCGACCCGCUCUCCACCUCGCUCACGCUACCUCUCCGGAUCAAUAUCCUCGCUCACUCUCUGACUCACCAUCAUCUUGGACCGCUUCCCCAUCUUGGAUAUCACCCUGGCUCACUCCCCCUCCAAACAACAACUCUUCUUUCGCCUACAAAUAAAAUCUCCCGGAACUACAAGACCCAUACUCACCUCUGUCUUCCUGUAGACGCCGCUUCCUGAUUUGGAUACCCACUGGACUUCAGUGCACCCUUAGUUUCCUGUUAAAUAAAUAUAAUUUUACCUUUUACUAUCAAA
This is a long non-coding RNA of Nothobranchius furzeri (turquoise killifish), 588 nucleotides long. RefSeq lists it as uncharacterized. NCBI's taxonomy places the organism in Eukaryota, Metazoa, Chordata, Actinopteri, Cyprinodontiformes, Nothobranchiidae. The record is from RefSeq and is a predicted model, not a curated record.